Molecule: ribosomal RNA, 490 nt
Filed under: uncultured bacterium
Lineage: Bacteria
Description: partial 16S ribosomal RNA
Rfam family: Bacterial small subunit ribosomal RNA
Source: RNAcentral
AUUGAACGCUGGCGGCAGGCCUAACACAUGCAAGUCGAACGGUAACAGGAAGCAGCUUGCUGCUUUGCUGACGAGUGGCGGACGGGUGAGUAAUGUCUGGGAAACUGCCCGAUGGAGGGGGAUAACUACUGGAAACGGUAGCUAAUACCGCAUAACGUCGCAAGACCAAAGAGGGGGACCUUAGGGCCUCUUGCCAUCGGAUGUGCCUAGAUGGGAUUAGCUAGUAGGUGGGGUAACGGCUCACCUAGGCGACGAUCCCUAGCUGGUCUGAGAGGAUGACCAGCCACACUGGAACUGAGACACGGUCCAGACUCCUACGGGAGGCAGCAGUGGGGAAUAUUGCACAAUGGGCGCAAGCCUGAUGCAGCCAUGCCGCGUGUAUGAAGAAGGCCUUCGGGUUGUAAAGUACUUUCAGCGGGGAGGAAGGGAGUAAAGUUAAUACCUUUGCUCAUUGACGUUACCCGCAGAAGAAGCACCGGCUAACUCCGUG